GCUGCCAGAGGGGGAGCUGGUAAGGUUCCAACCCUUCAAUCAAGAGGGAGCUCAGCAAAAAGGGAAAAGAAUCCACAGCUUCAAGAUUUCCAACAACCUCUAGAAAAAUGGAAUCCUCUCCAGAAAAUGAAUCUUCCA
Hyaena hyaena (striped hyena) is the source of this 138-nucleotide long non-coding RNA. RefSeq lists it as uncharacterized. The transcript has 2 exons. NCBI's taxonomy places the organism in Eukaryota, Metazoa, Chordata, Mammalia, Carnivora, Hyaenidae. The record is from RefSeq and is a predicted model, not a curated record.